RNAcentral lists this ribosomal RNA (2245 nucleotides) under human gut metagenome. RNAcentral describes it as "bacterial LSU rRNA". It matches the Rfam family "Bacterial large subunit ribosomal RNA", at positions 14 to 2348 of the family's 2925-position model. The record is from RNAcentral.
AGAGCGUAGGGAGAAUGCCUUGGCAUUAGGAGCCGAUGAAGGACGUGAUAAGCUGCGAUAAGCUGCGGGGAUCAGCAAGUAUGAAUUGAUCCGCAGAUUUCCGAAUGGAGCAAUCCGUAUGUGUAUGCACAUACAUCAUAUACUGAAUCAAAUAGGUAUAUGAGGGGAACCGCCUGAACUGAAACAUCUAAGUAGGGCGAGGAAGAGAAAUCAACCGAGAUUCUGUGAGUAGUGGCGAGCGAAAGCGGAAGAGGCUAAACCAUAGGUAGCAAUACUUAUGGGGUUUCGGACAGCAUUUAGUAUUGAUAAUUUCUAGUUGAAACGUGUGGGAAAACGUACCGAAGAGUGUGAGAGUCACGUAAGCGAAAGAGAAAGUCAGCGAGCUGUAUCCAAAGUACCGCGGGACACGUGAAACCCCGUGGGAAGAUGGGGGGACCAUCCUCCAAGCCUAAAUACUACCUAAUGACCGAUAGCGAAUAGUACUGUGAAGGAACGGUGAAAAGAACCCCGGGAGGGGAGUGAAAAAGAACCUGAAACCCUAUGCUUACAAGCACCGAGAGCACGUCAAAGUGUGAUCGGGUACCUUUUGUAGAAUGGUCCGGCGAGUUAUUGUAUGCGGCAAGGUUAAGUGCUUAAGGCACGGAGCCGAAGCGAGAGCAAGUCUGAAUAGGGCGAGUAAGUCGUAUGCAAUAGACCCGAAACCGAGUGACCUAUCCAUGUCCAGGCUGAAGUGGAGGUAAAACUCCAUGGAGGGCCGAACACACGUCCGUUGAAAAGGCCGGUGAUGAGGUGUGGAUAGCGGAGAAAUUCCAAUCGAACUCGGAUAUAGCUGGUUCUCUCCGAAAUAGCUUUAGGGCUAGCCUCGUGAAAGAUUACUGGAGGUAAAGCACUGAAUGGGCUAGGGGUCGAAAGAUUACUGAACCCUAUCAAACUAAGAAUGCCAGAUAAUUGAUUCACGGGAGUCAGACAAUGUGAGAUAAGUCUCAUUGUCAAAAGGGAAACAGCCCAGACCCACAGCUAAGGUCCCUAAACAUUGUUAAGUGGAAAAGGAUGUGGGGUUGCAUAAACAACCAGGAUGUUGGCUUAGAAGCAGCCACUCAUUAAAAGAGUGCGUAAUAGCUCACUGGUCGAGUGACCCUGCGCCGAAAAUUCAACGGGGCUAAACAAUGUACCGAAGCUUGGGAUUCUAAAGUAAUUUAGAGUGGUAGGAGAGCGUCGAAUAAGGGGUGAAGUCAGAGCGGAAGCGCUGGUGGACUUUAUUCGAGUGAGAAUGCCGGAAUGAGUAGCGAGAAUUAUGUGAGAAUCAUAAUGGCCGAAAAUCUAAGGUUUCCUGAGGAAGGUUCGUCCGCUCAGGGUAAGCCGGGGGCUAAGGCGAGGCGGAGACGCGUAGCCGAUGCACAUACGGUUGAAAUUCCGUAGCCACCGAAAGAUUUAAGUACAGGGACGCUUUAGAAGUGAUGUUGCCGGGCGAUGGUUGACCCGGUCGUAAGGGAUCGAAAAUGAGUAGAGAAGUCAUCAUGGAAAGAGACAAGAAAAGCUGUAUGGAUAUCUUAGGUGCCCGUACCGCAAACCGACACAGGUAGAUAGGAAGAAGAUUCUAAGGCCAACGGGAGAAGGGUUGUUAAGGAACUCGGCAAGUUGACCCCGUAACUUAGGGAUAAGGGGUGCUCAAGUGAUUGAGCCGCAGAGAAUAGGCCCAGGCGACUGUUUAGCAAAAACACAGGUCUCUGCUAAAUCGAAAGAUGACGUAUAGGGGCUGACACCUGCCCGGUGCCGGAAGGUUAAGAGGAGAUGUGAGAGCAUUGAAUUGAAGCCCCGGUAAACGGCGGCCGUAACUAUAACGGUCCUAAGGUAGCGAAAUUCCUUGUCAGGUAAGUUCUGACCCGCACGAAUGGCGUAAUGAUUUGGGCACUGUCUCGACAGCCCGCCCGGCGAAAUUGUAGUACUGGUGAAGAUGCCAGUUACCCGCAACUAGACGGAAAGACCCCAUGGAGCUUUACUGCAGCUUAAUACUGGAAAUCGGUAAUUCAUGUACAGGAUAGGUGGGAGACGGAGAAGUACGGUCGUCAGGUCGUAUGGAGUCGCCCUUGGGAUACCACUCUUGGAUUGCUGGUUUUCUAACCUGCGGCCGUGAAUCCGGUCGGGGGACACUGUUAGGCGGGCAGUUUGACUGGGGCGGUCGCCUCCAAAAAGGUAACGGAGGCGCUCAAAGGUUCGUUCAGCACGGACGGAAAUCGUGCAUUGA